This 508-nucleotide ribosomal RNA is filed under the name uncultured bacterium. RNAcentral describes it as "partial 16S ribosomal RNA". The record is from RNAcentral.
GGAGUUAGCCGGUGCUUCUUCUGUGAGUGAUGUCCUUCCUGCCGGCUAUUAACCCGCAGGCCUUCUUCCUCACUGAAAGUGCUUUACAACCCGAAGGCCUUCUUCACACACGCGGCAUGGCUGGAUCAGGGUUGCCCCCAUUGUCCAAUAUUCCCCACUGCUGCCUCCCGUAGGAGUCUGGGCCGUGUCUCAGUCCCAGUGUGGCUGAUCAUCCUCUCAGACCAGCUACGGAUCGUCGCCUUGGUGAGCCGUUACCUCACCAACCAGCUAAUCCGACAUAGGCUCAUCCGAUAGCGCGAGGCCCGAAGGUCCCCCGNUUUCCCCCGUAGGGCGUAUGCGGUAUUAGCCCUGGGUUUCCCCAGGUUAUCCCCCACUACCGGGCAGAUUCCUAUGCAUUACUCACCCGUCCGCCGCUCGCCACCAGGGAGCAAGCUCCCCGUGCUGCCGCUCGACUUGCAUGUGUUAGGCCUGCCGCCAGCGUUCAAUCUGAGCCAUGAUCAAACUCUGA